Molecule: ribosomal RNA, 497 nt
Filed under: uncultured bacterium
Lineage: Bacteria
Description: partial 16S ribosomal RNA
Rfam family: Bacterial small subunit ribosomal RNA
Source: RNAcentral
GAUGAACGCUGGCGGCGUGCCUAAUACAUGCAAGUCGAGCGAACAGACGAGGAGCUUGCUCUUCUGACGUUAGCGGCGCACGUGUGUGAAACACGUGGACAACCUACCUAUCAGACUGGGAUAACUUCGAUACACCGGAGCUAAUACCAGAUAAUAUAUUGCACCGCAUGGUUCAAUAGUGAAAUACGGCUUUGCUGUUUCUUAUAGAUGGAUCCGCGCCGCAUUAGCUAGUUGGUAAGGUAACGGCGUAUCAAGGCGACGAUGCGUAGCCGAUCUGAGAGGGUGAACAGCCACACGGGAACUGAGACACGGACCAGACUCCUACGGGAGGCAGCAGUAGGGAAUCUUACGCAAUGGGCGAAAGCCUGACGGAGCAACGGCGAGUGUGUGAUGAAGGCCUUCGGAUCGUAAAACUCUGUUAUUAGGGAAGAACAAAUGUGUAAGUAACUAUGCAGGGAAUGACGGUACCGAAUCAGGAAGCAACGGCUAACUACGUG